AAUCUCUUUUCGCAUAUUUCCUUAAUGUCGUGGCGGUUUUCAUCAAGGUCAGGGAGAAGAAAAGAGGAAAAGACACAAGAGGUACUGUUUUGUUUUUGGAGUAUCUGACUGCAGCCACUUUCACAGUUGAAACCAGAGCUUCAUUCAUCUCUAAAUGUUUGAAAGCUUUAAGGAUCUUAAUCCAGGUUUAGUCGACUGGUUAAAGUUCUGAUACUGAACGAGUUCGGAUUGGAUUAAGGAGGACAUCGCUCUGCUCAGUGCUCAUUUAAAGCCGUCCACACAGGUCUAUCAAAUAACACCAUCAUAAUACAUUUGUCCACCUCAGGCACUGCAUCUGCUGCACAAAGGACAGGAUUCAUGGGGCAAUCAAUGACUCAUCAUGGUCUCUAU
Centropristis striata (black sea bass) is the source of this 390-nucleotide long non-coding RNA. RefSeq lists it as uncharacterized. Lineage: Eukaryota; Metazoa; Chordata; Actinopteri; Perciformes; Serranidae. The record is from RefSeq and is a predicted model, not a curated record. The transcript is spliced from 4 exons.